RNAcentral lists this transfer RNA (32 nucleotides) under Aepyprymnus rufescens (rufous rat-kangaroo). RNAcentral's name for it is "partial tRNA-Phe". Lineage: Eukaryota; Metazoa; Chordata; Mammalia; Diprotodontia; Potoroidae. The record is from RNAcentral.
CUUAGAUGGACUAUAACAUAGUCCCGUAAACA